UCAGAUAUAAAUCACAAAGCAUUGUACAACAUGAUAAAGAUCAGGGCAAAUACCUCUAACCAAUAAAAACAUCCGAAAAACAAUAGCAGUGAUAAACGUAGAAAAUAAAAUCAUGAGUAUAAACAAAGUGAAGGUGUGAACAAGAACAAAGCCAUCUUUUUGAAACAUUUAGGGAGGGAACGCCUAGAUGAAAAGGUGAGAUUUUAUAUGAUUUUUAAAGACCUCUACAGUGUUAGAGAGACGGAGAUUUGAAGGUAGACUGUUCCAAAGUCUGGGUUCAAUAGUCUGAAAGGCCCUGUCCCCUUUUGUUUUCAGUCUGGUUCGAGGAACAGUCAGGAGGUUUUCAGAUGUGGAUCUAAGGUUCCGAGAGGUGGUGUGUGGGGAUAAAAGCUCAUAUAGGUAGCUUGGAGCCUGGUUGUUAAAGAGGGGGUCAAUUGAGCCUCGGAGUCCUUCUCUACCCACGUAUCAAUUUUAAAAAAUGCAACAUUAGUAGGCGUUGCCUGGAGGACCGAGAGGGCGGAGCCGCGGCAGUGACGAAGACGACGGCUAACUAGACGAUGCUAGCUCCCUUCACUCUAUGCAGUUAUUAGAAGUGGAGGAUGUUUCUCCCCCUCCUUACCCAGACACUCGAGAAGAAAGGGACCAAGUCUAUUUGGAGGAGACAAGCGGACCUGAGCCUUAUUGUUGUGAGCUUGUGAGUUGCCUGAAACUCCCAGAACCGACCCAACAGAACCACCUCUGAACGUCCUCUGGUGUCUGCAGCUGGUCUCUGGUGUCUGCAGGUGGUCUCCUCUGCUGGUGCCAUCAGGAUCAGGAGCUUCCAGAAGAAUGUGCCUUUCAAUGACUCUUUCCUCCUUAUUUGUUAUAUUAAUUAAAUAAAUCUCAAUUUA
Molecule: non-coding RNA, 890 nt
Organism: Nothobranchius furzeri (turquoise killifish)
Lineage: Eukaryota; Metazoa; Chordata; Actinopteri; Cyprinodontiformes; Nothobranchiidae
Source: RefSeq, a predicted model, not a curated record